Molecule: ribosomal RNA, 254 nt
Filed under: uncultured bacterium
Lineage: Bacteria
Description: partial 16S ribosomal RNA
Rfam family: Bacterial small subunit ribosomal RNA
Source: RNAcentral
UACGAAGGGGGCUAGCGUUGUUCGGAAUCACUGGGCGUAAAGCGUAUGCAGGCGGAUCGUUAAGUCGGGGGUGAAAUCCCGAGGCUCAACCUCGGAACUGCCUUCGAUACUGGCGAUCUUCGAGUCCGGGAGAGGUGAGUGGAACUGCGAGUGUAGAGGUGAAAUUCGUAGAUAUUCGGAAGAACACCAGUGGCGAAGGCGGCUCACUGGACCGGUAUUGACGCUGAGGUGCGAAAGCGUGGGGAGCAAACAGG